CCUGAACGCUGGCGGCGUGGCUAAGACAUGCAAGUCGUACGGAGGUAGCAAUACCUCAGUGGCGCACGGGUGAGUAAUGUAUCGCUAACGUACCCCUUAGUCUGGGAUAGCCGGGGGAAACUCCGGGUAAUACCAGAUGAGAUCGCAGUUUCGCAUGGGAUAGCGCUCAAAGGGCAACCGCUGAGGGAGCGGGCGAUAUCGUAUCAGCUAGUUGGUGAGGUAACGGCUCACCAAGGCGACGACGCGUAGCCGGGCUGAGAGGUCGGCCGGCCACAUU
Molecule: ribosomal RNA, 277 nt
Filed under: uncultured bacterium
Lineage: Bacteria
Description: partial 16S ribosomal RNA
Rfam family: Bacterial small subunit ribosomal RNA
Source: RNAcentral